AUGUCUGGUGAAGAUCUGAGUUUUUUCUUUGAUGUCUUUUCGGUUGCUGUUAGAAUUUGGCUUCACUAUGCCACCCUUCUCUGCACCAACUUAAAUCCUGGGCUGCCGGCUCCUGCUCUGAAUUGUAAAACUGGCUUGAUUUUUAAACAUACCAUGCUCUCCAAAAGAAACGAAGCGGUUGUGUAUCUGAACGGUUCUCAUUUUCAAGUGAAUUUGUUUCACUCCGAAGACCCAUUUCAUAUUCUUUUCUCCCAGUUACAUUGUCCUGUGCAUGGUUAUCCAUCACUGUCUCGGGUCACAAUCUCAACUUUUCCGAGUUAUAUUUCUGCAGAACCUUCUAAACACGCGUCUCGAUCUCCUCUGCCCUCCGUGCUCAGCUGUUCUCUCUGA
RNAcentral lists this ribosomal RNA (390 nucleotides) under Triticum aestivum (bread wheat). RNAcentral's name for it is "partial small subunit ribosomal RNA". Lineage: Eukaryota; Viridiplantae; Streptophyta; Magnoliopsida; Poales; Poaceae. The record is from RNAcentral.